CCUCUUGCAAAAUCAACGAAUAAGAGGUCCCGCCUGCCCUGUGACUAUAUGUUUAACGGCCGCGGUAUUUUGACCGUGCGAAGGUAGCGCAAUCACUUGUCUUUUAAAUGGAGACCUGUAUGAAUGGCAUCACGAGGGCUUAGCUGUCUCCUCUCCCCAGUCAAUGAAAUUGAUCUCCCCGUGCAGAAGCGGGAUAGCAACAUAAGACGAGAAGACCCUAUGGAGCUUUAGACGUAAGAGCAGCUCAUGUAAAGCACCCCUGAACAAAGGAAAAAACCAAAUGAAACCUGCCCUAAUGUCUUUGGUUGGGGCGACCGCGGGGAAAUACAAAACCCCCAUGAGGAGUAGGAACACAUAUUCCUAAAUCCAAGAGCUCCCGCUCUAAUGAACAGAAAUUCUGACCAACAAGAUCCGGCACACGCCGAUCAACGGACCGAGUUACCCUAGGGAUAACAGCGCAAUCCCCUUAAAGAGCCCUUAUCGACAAGGGGGUUUACGACCUCGAUGUUGGAUCAGGACAUCCUAAUGGUGCAGCCGCUAUUAAGGGUUCGUUUGUUCAACGAUUAAAGUCCU
This 573-nucleotide ribosomal RNA is filed under the name Pagrus pagrus (common seabream). Its description in RNAcentral is "partial 16S ribosomal RNA". It matches the Rfam family "Bacterial large subunit ribosomal RNA", at positions 1819 to 2597 of the family's 2925-position model. Lineage: Eukaryota; Metazoa; Chordata; Actinopteri; Spariformes; Sparidae. The record is from RNAcentral.